AUGAGGAAGAACGCAUCGUUUGUCCUGUUGAUUUUGGCCUGCCUGUGGCUGUGCCCUCGGCGGGGCAGCGGGUUCUCAUGGAACAUUUUCUCGUCUCCGUCCUCCUCGGCGGCCGGUAACAGUCCCCCGAUGAUGGAGCUCGACGGCGCGGUGGCCGACUUCUCCAUGGACGUCACCAACAACCCGCGAGGGGUGAAGCUGCUGGAGAACGCGCGGAACAAGCUCGCGGGGCCCAAGAACUGCUGGCAGGACGCGUACCGGAACCUCUUCGCCGGCUGCGGCGAGAUCAUGGCCGACAAGGAGCGGCAGGCGCGCCUCGCGUGGCACCUCAGCAGCUGCUACCAGGAGGACUCGGGCCGGCCGGCCUUCCCGUCCUGCGCCGGCGGGUCCAGGAUGGUGCACUGCCGCAAGAAGCUGGGCGACUCGGAGAGCAAGUUGUUCCUCGAGUUCUUCCUGGAGACCAACACGCUGUGCCACCAGCUGCAGGCGGAGGCCUUCAAGCACAGCACGGAGCGGCUGGUGAACGACCUCACGCGCUCCUCCAAGUCGGCGGAGGAGAAGCUGGAGGUGAUCGAGGCGCGGUCGGAGGAGAUCAUCAGGGAGUCCGGCAAGGUGCGGGACGCGCUGUCGUCCAUCGAGGCGCAGGCGGACCGCCUCGCGGAGACGUCCAAGGGCGUGGGCGCGCAGAUCGACGACGUGCUGGCGCACUCCAGGACCAUCUCCGACCAGUCCAAGGAGAUCGCCGCCUCCCAGGCGGAGCUCAAGGAAGGGCAGGCCGAGAUGAGGAAGAAGAUCGAGGCCGGCAUGGAGCGCAUCCAGGAGUCGUACGAUCAGCUGGGGGACGGGAUGGGGAAGCUCACGGAGGAGGCCGUGGGCAUUCAGAAGGAGAUCGCAACUGUCGGCGACCUGAUGUCUUCCAAGAUGCUGGUUCUCCAGGGCACUGCCGAUGAGAUUGGGAGUGUGGCGGGCAAAUCGUUGGAGAAUCAGAUGCAGCUCUUGGAUGGGCAGAACAAGGCCAUGGAUGGAUUGACUAGCCUCCACACCUUUCAGUCCCAGGCUCUCGAGGAAAGCAGGGAAACUUUGGAGAAAUUUGCACUGUUUGGGCAGCGUCAGCAGGAAGAGCUGUUGUUGAAGCAGGAGCAGAUCCGGCAGGCUCAUGAUCAUCUCAUCCUGAAUUCACACUCCAUACUAGCAGCUCAGGAGGAGUUCAGAGCGAAGCAGGCCAACAUCUUCGCGGCGCUGGACAAGCUCUACAUCCUCCACAACGCCAUUCUAGCCGAGUCCCGCUUCAUCAAGGCCUUCUUCUUCUACUGCUGCAUCGUCUUCCUCAUCUACAUGCUCACCAGCGCCAAGCAGACCUUCAGCAUCAGAGGCCAACUUUACUUCGGUCUGUGCGUCACGCUCCUGCUAGAGAUGGGUCUGAUCAAGAUCGCAGCCGGCAACUUGGACAACCAGUUCUGGGUCCUGUCCAAGGUGUUCUUGGUCAGAUUGCUGUUCCUGGCCGCCGCCACUAUCCAGAUCUUGCAUUCCAUAUUCACGUUCAGGGACUACGAAGUUCUGAACCACCGGCUGCUCCAGACGCUGGUGGACAAGGUCCGGACACUGGAGGAGAACGCAGGCGACAGGAUGCUCUGGUACGGCUCGGAGAGCGACGAGAGCCUGAGGAACUACUCGUGGGUCUUCGACGAGCUGACGGAUGAGGCGGACAGCACAGCCGACCCUAACUACGCCCUGCCGGAGCAAACCCGCCGGAGGUACGGCGCCCUGCCGGAAGAGGUCGCCGAGAACUCCAUCACCACGUCGGGUAGCCGGAGGUACAACCUGCGGCGCCGGAGCAAGCAGUGA
Molecule: ribosomal RNA, 1845 nt
Filed under: Triticum aestivum (bread wheat)
Lineage: Eukaryota; Viridiplantae; Streptophyta; Magnoliopsida; Poales; Poaceae
Description: partial small subunit ribosomal RNA
Source: RNAcentral